GAUGAAGAACGCAGCGAAAUGCGAUACGUAAUGUGAAUUGCAGAAUUCAGUGAAUCAUCGAGUCUUUGAACGCACAUUGCGCCCCCUGGUAUUCCGGGGGGCAUGCCUGUCCGAGCGUCAUUGCUGCCCUCAAGCACGGCUUGUGUGUUGGGCCUCCGUCCUCCUCCCGGGGGACGGGCCCGAAAGGCAGCGGCGGCACCGCGUCCGGUCCUCGAGCGUAUGGGGCUUCGUCACCCGCUCUUGUAGGCCCGGCCGGCGCUUGCCGACACAUCAAUCUUUUUUCCAGGUUGACCUCGGAUCAGGUAGGGAUACCCGCUGAACUUAAGCAUAACAAUAAGCGAGGA
RNAcentral lists this unclassified non-coding RNA (344 nucleotides) under soil metagenome. RNAcentral describes it as "partial contains 5.8S ribosomal RNA, internal transcribed spacer 2, and large subunit ribosomal RNA". The stretch from base 1 to 120 matches the Rfam family "5.8S ribosomal RNA", at positions 35 to 154 of the family's 154-position model. The record is from RNAcentral.